This 497-nucleotide ribosomal RNA is filed under the name uncultured bacterium. Its description in RNAcentral is "partial 16S ribosomal RNA". It matches the Rfam family "Bacterial small subunit ribosomal RNA", at positions 28 to 507 of the family's 1533-position model. The record is from RNAcentral.
GAUGAACGCUGGCGGCGUGCCUAAUACAUGCAAGUCGAGCGAACAGACGAGGAGCUUGCUCCUCUGACGUUAGCGGCGGACGGGUGGGUAACACGUGGAUAACCUACCUAUAAGACUGGGAUAACUUCGGGAAACCGGAGCUAAUACCGGAUAAUAUAUUGAACCGCAUGGUUCAAUAGUGAAAGACGGUUUUGCUGUCACUUAUAGAUGGAUCCGCGCCGCAUUAGCUAGUUGGUAAGGUAACGGCUUACCAAGGCAACGAUGCGUAGCCGACCUGAGAGGGUGAUCGGCCACACUGGAACUGAGACACGGUCCAGACUCCUACGGGAGGCAGCAGUAGGGAAUCUUCCGCAAAGGGCGAAAGCUUGACGGAGCAACGCCGCGUGAGUGAUGAAGGUCUUCGGAUCGUAAAACUCUGUUAUUAGGGAAGAACAAAUGUGUAAGUAACUAUGCACGUCUUGACGGUACCUAAUCAGAAAGCCACGGCUAACUACGUG